RNAcentral lists this ribosomal RNA (253 nucleotides) under uncultured bacterium. RNAcentral's name for it is "partial 16S ribosomal RNA". It matches the Rfam family "Bacterial small subunit ribosomal RNA", at positions 524 to 776 of the family's 1533-position model. The record is from RNAcentral.
GACAGAGGGUGCAAGCGUUGUUCGGAAUUAUUGGGCGUAAAGCGCACGUAGGCGGCUUACUAAGUCGGGUGUGAAAGCCCGGGGCUCAACCCCGGAAGUGCACCGGAAACUGGCAAGCUCGAGUCCCGGAGAGGGUGGUGGAAUUCCUGGUGUAGAGGUGAAAUUCGUAGAUAUCAGGAGGAACACCCGAGGCGAAGGCGACCACCUGGACGGUGACUGACGCUGAGGUGCGAAAGCGUGGGGAGCAAACAGG